GCCGCUUAGCAGGUAGGUUUAUUAGCAUCUCCAGGGACAGUUGAAAGCCUCGUUGAUCAUUUUCGUUGGAUUUUUGGCCGCUUUGCAGGUAGGUUUAUUAGCGUCUCCAGGGACAUUUGAAAGCAUUGCUG
This 131-nucleotide small RNA is filed under the name Drosophila mojavensis. Its description in RNAcentral is "GI26924". Lineage: Eukaryota; Metazoa; Arthropoda; Insecta; Diptera; Drosophilidae. The record is from RNAcentral.